Molecule: long non-coding RNA, 2425 nt
Organism: Oncorhynchus gorbuscha (pink salmon)
Lineage: Eukaryota; Metazoa; Chordata; Actinopteri; Salmoniformes; Salmonidae
Exons: 2
Source: RefSeq, a predicted model, not a curated record
UCUGUUUUCCAGGACCAAAGUUUUAUUCCACACUUUGCAACACAUAUUAAACCCAUGUUAUUGUCGGAUAGAAUACUGAGGGUCCCCAAGGAGAGGGCUUGUUAGUGAAGGAAGGAUUUUUAAUAUGGUUAGCAUCUAUUAGAUUAUACGUUUUUAAAUAGUAUUAUAUUUAACAGGAAUAUAGGACAUCUAUGAGGAGUUAGGAUUAUUGUUGGGAUUAAGAUAGAUUGAUUAAGGAAUUUGGAGAAAAGCCGCUCAUAGACAUUUUUUUUUCUAAAAGAGGGUCCAUGGGUUUGUAGUUCCCAUGUAGUUCAAAUUUGGAAAACAUGAGAAACAUACAGAGGAGCCCUCCCACGCACCGCAGAGACCUUGAAGGUGGGAGAGCAGAGAAGUUAGAGGGGGGUGCAGGAAGAGCAAAGAUAACAUAGUGGGUAAAUAAGUUUCUAAAUGGGUCAGAAUGGGAGCUGUAGAUAGAGGAGGUAUUUGGCAUAAAGGGAAUCUACCUGUUUUACCUAAGUCACUGUUUAAAUAUGCUGCUGUAUUGAUACAUGGGCAAAGCCAUGUAUCAACAGGGGGGAUGGUAGGAAUGGUUAAACAGCACUUUGUAGCAUAUGGAAUAACUAACUAUUUUAAAAACUUUUGCUCACGGUGUACUAUAUUGAAUUAACUAAGAGUGAAAACAAGAAGUGGUGUUUAACAAUAAUUGAUAAAUAUACCAUUUACAUUUACAUUUACAUUUAAGUCAUUUAGCAGACGCUCUUAUCCAGAGCGACUUACAAAUCAAAUGGGUAGAAGUGUUUCCUACAUCCUCAGCAGACGCAGAAACAGUGGCUAGAGCAUUAUGUCAGGAGAUAAUUCCGCGAUUUGGAUUACCAGAAGUAAUUGAGCAUAUAGGUCAGAAAUUGGAUAUAAAUAUGAAGAAACAUAGUUCUUAUCACCCCCAAAGCGCUGGCCUUAUCGAGAACAUGAAUCGAUCGGUAAAAGGUCGAUUAAGGAAAACACACCUAAGUACUGGAAUGAACGGGAUAAAAUGCCUGCCCAUAGUGUUAAUGACUAUUAGAAUAACCCCUGAUAGGGAGGGGCUAUCUCCAUUUGAGAAGGUUUUUGGUAGACCCUAUAGAAUGCCCCAAUUAGGGCGAUUAGAAAUAGAAAGCAGUAUGGUGGGACACAUGAGGAGGUUGUUCAUUAAUCAAACACGUAUGUCAAAAGUUUUAUGCCCAGCAGGAGAAUUAGAGGGAGGUGGCACACGACAUUCAACCAGGAGACUGGAUCUGGAUCCAAUCAUUGAAGAAAAAAAACUGGAAGCAGCCUCGGUGGGAGGGACCAUUCCAAGUACUACUGGUGACUGCCUUCGCGGUUCCAUUUAAAUCAAGACUUCCUCCCUUUACCGUGACGAGAGGAGAAUAUUACUGUUUGGCCAGAUACAGUACACACGGGAAAUACGUGGGGGAAGUUGGUACCUGCAAUAAGACAGAGAAUAUUACCACUGACGAGACCAUGUCUGAUUUGACAGGCUGGUUGAACUCUGGAGAUUUCAAAAUGUUGAAGGUGGCCAGGGCUGACAUCUGGUGGUUGUGCGGGGGAAUGAAUUUGUGGUCGGUAUUACCGACUGAUUGGACUGGGCUAUGCGCUCUAGUACAUUUAGGAAUGCCUUUUACACUCAUACAACACCAAGACGUGAAGUUAGCCAAAACCAGAGAGAUGCUCCAUCUGGAUCUUUUGACGACAGAGUAUAUAUAUUGAUAACAUUGGUGUUCCACGAGGUGCGUAAUUAUAGUUAUGGUAAUCAACAGCGCUUUAGCAGGAAUACCAAAGGUGUUGUUAAAGGUUUUGUAGAACAGACUGACGCAACCAGCUGGAAGACCUGACAGAAUAGAAUUGCAUAGGAUAAAAGGAGGAAGUGGGCGUGGUAAUCAGGACCAUGUCUUACAUCCCGGGUGGCACGGCUCCGGACGAAUCAGUGCCCGAAGCCUCAGCUGGUUUGACCACCCUGGCUCACGGGUUGGCAGAAACUCUGGGGUGGAUACUUCUCUGAACUAAAUUGGGUAGACAGUAUUUAUGGAAAAAUGUGGUGUUUUGGGCUGUAUCAACCUGUAUGACUGUAUUAAUUUUAUGCGGCUGUUGUCUAAUUCCCUGUGUGCGAGGCCUUGUUUCCAGGACUCUGGAAAGAUCAAUGACCCAACGGAUGGUGCGUUAUGGGCCGAUUCCAGAUUCUGACCUGUGUAGGACUGGAGGCAUGUCUACAGAGGAAGUGGACGAAUCCGGAUCUGUCAUUUGUGGGGAAUUUAUGUUUGAUGAGAAUAGUGUUGACAUGAAGGGGAAUUAGAUUGUAAUUUGUUUCAAUGAUUAAACUGUUUUUUUGAUGAAGAUUGUAAAAAGAAAAACAAAAAAGAAUCCUGGAAGGAAGAGUUAUGAUUCUGAUGUA